RNAcentral lists this ribosomal RNA (821 nucleotides) under Massilia alkalitolerans. RNAcentral's name for it is "bacterial SSU rRNA". It matches the Rfam family "Bacterial small subunit ribosomal RNA", at positions 57 to 875 of the family's 1533-position model. Lineage: Bacteria; Pseudomonadati; Pseudomonadota; Betaproteobacteria; Burkholderiales; Oxalobacteraceae. The record is from RNAcentral.
GCAGUCGAACGGCAGCACGGACUUCGGUCUGGUGGCGAGUGGCGAACGGGUGAGUAAUACAUCGGAACGUACCCAGAAGUGGGGGAUAACGCAGCGAAAGUUGCGCUAAUACCGCAUACGUUCUACGGAAGAAAGUGGGGGAUCGCAAGACCUCAUGCUUUUGGAGCGGCCGAUGUCUGAUUAGCUAGUUGGUAGGGUAAAGGCCUACCAAGGCGACGAUCAGUAGCUGGUCUGAGAGGACGACCAGCCACACUGGAACUGAGACACGGUCCAGACUCCUACGGGAGGCAGCAGUGGGGAAUUUUGGACAAUGGGCGCAAGCCUGAUCCAGCAAUGCCGCGUGAGUGAAGAAGGCCUUCGGGUUGUAAAGCUCUUUUGUCAGGGAAGAAACGGCUGCGGCUAAUAUCUGCGGCUAAUGACGGUACCUGAAGAAUAAGCACCGGCUAACUACGUGCCAGCAGCCGCGGUAAUACGUAGGGUGCAAGCGUUAAUCGGAAUUACUGGGCGUAAAGCGUGCGCAGGCGGUUUUGUAAGUCUGACGUGAAAGCCCCGGGCUCAACCUGGGAAUUGCGUUGGAGACUGCAAGGCUUGAAUCUGGCAGAGGGGGGUAGAAUUCCACGUGUAGCAGUGAAAUGCGUAGAGAUGUGGAGGAACACCGAUGGCGAAGGCAGCCCCCUGGGUCAAGAUUGACGCUCAUGCACGAAAGCGUGGGGAGCAAACAGGAUUAGAUACCCUGGUAGUCCACGCCCUAAACGAUGUCUACUAGUUGUCGGGUUUUAAUUAACUUGGUAACGCAGCUAACGCGUGAAGUAGACCGCCUG